Hydra vulgaris (swiftwater hydra) is the source of this 260-nucleotide non-coding RNA. The record is from RefSeq and is a predicted model, not a curated record. NCBI's taxonomy places the organism in Eukaryota, Metazoa, Cnidaria, Hydrozoa, Anthoathecata, Hydridae.
GCUUUGUCGUCAGGUAAAAAAGAAAACAAAUAAAUAAUUACUCUCUUUUGUUACUUAUCAAAUCAUUCAUUGCAUGUACAUUGAUUGUUAAAAGUAAUCUAGUUCUAAUUUUGUUAUAGAAGAGUCGGAGCCGACUCGCUUAAGAUCAUGUGGAUCAAAGAAAAAAUUGAAGAAAAGGGAAGAAGCUUUGUCGUCAGAAGAAUCGGAGCCGACUCGAUCAAGAUCAUUUGGAUCAAAGAAAAGUAUAAAAUUUCCUAUUC